This 251-nucleotide ribosomal RNA is filed under the name uncultured prokaryote. RNAcentral's name for it is "partial 16S rRNA". The record is from RNAcentral.
AUUAGAUACCCCUGUAGUCCGGCUGACUGACUCUUACACCAAGUAUCUCGUAUGCCGUCUUCUGCUUGAAAAAAAUACCCGGGCUCAACCUGGGAACUGCAUUUGUGACUGCAUCACUCGAGUACGGCAGAGGGAGGUGGAAUUCCGCGUGUAGCAGUGAAAUGCGUAGAGAUGAGUAGGAACAUUGAUUGCGUAGUCAGGCGCCCGCGAAGAUCCUCACUAUCAUGAUUGUAAGCGUGCGGCCCAAAUAG